GAGACACACGGCGGGUGCUAACGUCCGUCGUGAAGAGGGAAACAACCCAGACCGCCAGCUAAGGUCCCAAAGUCAUGGUUAAGUGGGAAACGAUGUGGGAAGGCCCAGACAGCCAGGAUGUUGGCUUAGAAGCAGCCAUCAUUUAAAGAAAGCGUAAUAGCUCACUGGUCGAGUCGGCCUGCGCGGAAGAUGUAACGGGGCUAAACCAUGCACCGAAGCUGCGGCAGCGACGCUKAUGCGUUGUUGGGUAGGGGAGCGUUCUGUAAGCCUGYGAAGGUGGCCUGUGAGGGUUGCUGGAGGUAUCAGAAGUGCGAAUGCUGACAUAAGUAACGAUAAAGCGGGUGAAAAGCCCGCUCGCCGGAAGACCAAGGGUUCCUGUCCAACGUUAAUCGGGGCAGGGUGAGUCGACCCCUAAGGCGAGGCCGAAAGGCGUAGUCGAUGGGAAACGGGUUAAUAUUCCCGUACUUGGUGUUACUGCGAAGGGGGGACGGAGAAGGCUAUGUUGGCCGGGCGACGGUUGUCCCG
This 525-nucleotide ribosomal RNA is filed under the name Salmonella enterica. RNAcentral describes it as "partial 23S ribosomal RNA". Lineage: Bacteria; Pseudomonadati; Pseudomonadota; Gammaproteobacteria; Enterobacterales; Enterobacteriaceae. The record is from RNAcentral.